GGACGACGAUCCGUAGCUGGUCUGAGAGGAUGACCAGUCACACCGGAACUGAGACACGGUCCGGACUCCUACGGGAGGCAGCAGUGGGGGAAGUAUUGGACAAAUGGGCGCAAGCCUGAUCCAGCCAUGCCGCGUGGGUGAAGAAGGCCUUCGGUUGUAAAGCCCUUUAGGUGGGGAGGAAGGCAUUCAUGCUAAUACCAUGGAUGAUUGACGUUACCCACAGAAUAAGCACCGGCUAACUCCGUGCCAGCAGCCGCGGUAAUACGGAGGGUGCAAGCGUUAAUCGGAAUUACUGGGCGUAAAGCGCACGUAGGCGGUUUGACAAGUGGGAUGUGAAAGCCCUGGGCUCAACCUGGGAACUGCAUCCCAAACUGUCAGGCUAGAGUAUGGUAGAUGGGGGGCGGAAUUCCCGGUGUAGCGGUGAAAUGCGUAGAGAUCGGGAGGAACAUCAGUGGC
Molecule: ribosomal RNA, 456 nt
Filed under: uncultured bacterium
Lineage: Bacteria
Description: bacterial SSU rRNA
Rfam family: Bacterial small subunit ribosomal RNA
Source: RNAcentral